Molecule: ribosomal RNA, 602 nt
Filed under: uncultured bacterium
Lineage: Bacteria
Description: bacterial SSU rRNA
Rfam family: Bacterial small subunit ribosomal RNA
Source: RNAcentral
UCCGCAUGGAUCUGCGGGAAAAGGAUUUAUUCGCUUCAGGAUGGACUCGCGUCCAAUUAGCUAGUUGGUGAGGUAACGGCCCACCAAGGCGACGAUUGGUAGCCGGACUGAGAGGUUGAACGGCCACAUUGGGACUGAGACACGGCCCAGACUCCUACGGGAGGCAGCAGUGGGGGAUAUUGCACAAUGGGGGAAACCCUGAUGCAGCGACGCCGCGUGGAGGAAGAAGGUUUUCGGAUUGUAAACUCCUGUCGUUAGGGACGAUAAUGACGGUACCUAACAAGAAAGCACCGGCUAACUACGUGCCAGCAGCCGCGGUAAAACGUAGGGUGCAAGCGUUGUCCGGAAUUACUGGGUGUAAAGGGAGCGCAGGCGGACCGGCAAGUUGGAAGUGAAAACUAUGGGCUCAACCCAUAAAUUGCUUUCAAAACUGCUGGCCUUGAGUAGUGCAGAGGUAGGUGGAAUUCCCGGUGUAGCGGUGGAAUGCGUAGAUAUCGGGAGGAACACCAGUGGCGAAGGCGACCUACUGGGCACCAACUGACGCUGAGGCUCGAAAGCAUGGGUAGCAAACAGGAUUAGAUACCCUGGUAGUCCAUGCCGUA